Molecule: long non-coding RNA, 476 nt
Organism: Larimichthys crocea (large yellow croaker)
Lineage: Eukaryota; Metazoa; Chordata; Actinopteri; Sciaenidae
Exons: 3
Source: RefSeq, a predicted model, not a curated record
GACCAUUCUGGCCAACACAACUGCGAUUCCUCCCCGAAAACACUGUCAAAUUUCAACAGCAUGUCGCAGUAGUGCGGACAGGAAAUAUCUGCCUGAUUGGAAAGAUUAGUGAAGCCUCUGCCAGCUGUUGAAGAAACGUGUGAAGAUGCAAGAAGCAUACACACAAGGACAUUGACCAGGGAGUGGAUGUGCUAUACUAGACAAUUUGCUACAACAGUUACAGGGAUUCUCAUGGGACUGAGAUGAUCUCUGUUGCACUCAAGUUUUUUUUCAAAAUCUGGAAGAGGCAGCACACUCUUUUCCACGGGUGGUGCCAUUUUUGCUGGACGAGUUGAGAAAUGAAUGGGUUUCUCCUUUCUUUAUAUGUCAUUUGAUUCAUGGUAUUGCUCUGUGAUUGCAGAAAAUGCUAAAUUAACAGCAUUGUGAUGUUGAAUUUUGGUGCAUUCAGUGCUAUUUUCCAUCUGGCUAUACAAUUA